AAAGAAAAAUAAGUUUUUCUUUAGUACAUGGGUGGAGAGGGGAUACACACAACAACCUCAUUUUCAUAUUUUUUCUGAGCUCCGGCACUUUGUCGGCUUGAAUAAUCGAUGGUCCCGCCGUUUCGUUAGACUAUUGGAACUCCUUUUUUAUUUAUUUUUUGGAAAUAUAUUUUUGUACUACACUGUGCAGUGGAGGACUGUACUGCAGUCAAGUCAGGAAAUGAUUUCAAACACCUGCUACCGCUGGCAAACUCUUACGCCAUAUCUUACUUCUUUAGCUUCUUUUUGAGUGGAAAACAAAUAACAAUAAAAAGAAAAAGAAUAAAGGGAAUCUGCACCGUUGCUGGAACACUUUGGCACGUCAUGUCGGUCGGCUGCCUAUGUGGAACAGCCCAGCGCCAGCCCAGCAAGAAAGAAGAAACACAUUGGCGGCCGUGAUGUAAAACAACUCGAGGAAAGACACAAAAUGAGAGGAGAUUAGUUUGACUGUUUGGAAAUUGAAUGUGUCGGACGGAAAUAAAUUAUUGGGCCGUAUAAUACUGUUAGAAAAUGCUCCGCGCAAUGGCGGAACCGCAGAAAAGUAAUCAUCUUUUUUUCUCUAGUAGCUAAUAAGAGAGAGAGAAAAGUUAAUCCGGGCGCCAGUUUUAAGCGGGCAUCGAUGUCACUGGAACUUUCUACACACGUACUCAUCUCGUCUUUUUUGUGACUUUUUUAAAACUGUAGCGACAACAAUGGUCCAGCACGGAACAUUAUAUUCCCUACUUUACUGUCGCCCAUUUAGUUGGGGUAGUAAAAAACCAAAAUUGAAACUUUUUCUUCUUCUUUUAAAUUUUUCUGGUGAAAUCUGAUGUUGUGAAUAUUUCGUGAAUUUCUGCCGAAAUCUUAGACGUGUGUGACCGUUUGUCCGGCGUGUGUUGUACGGCUUCUUCACGGUUCCACAAGCUGAGAAAGGGAAAAACAAUUUAACACAAGUCGAGAUGAGAUCACACCCACUAUCGCCUAGCAUCUUCUUUUUCUCUCCGACCCUGAAGAACAAGUCAAAUCGAAUAAAAUAAAA
Daphnia pulex (common water flea) is the source of this 1057-nucleotide long non-coding RNA. RefSeq lists it as uncharacterized. The transcript is spliced from 2 exons. The record is from RefSeq and is a predicted model, not a curated record. NCBI's taxonomy places the organism in Eukaryota, Metazoa, Arthropoda, Branchiopoda, Diplostraca, Daphniidae.